This 17-nucleotide microRNA is filed under the name Corchorus capsularis. RNAcentral's name for it is "sRNA CCACVL1_25103". Lineage: Eukaryota; Viridiplantae; Streptophyta; Magnoliopsida; Malvales; Malvaceae. The record is from RNAcentral.
UCCCUCCUCUCUGUAUU